Molecule: transfer RNA, 85 nt
Filed under: Actinomycetota bacterium
Lineage: Bacteria; Bacillati; Actinomycetota
Description: tRNA-Ser
Rfam family: tRNA
About the family: Transfer RNA (tRNA) molecules are approximately 80 nucleotides in length. Their secondary structure includes four short double-helical elements and three loops (D, anti-codon, and T loops).
Source: RNAcentral
GGAGGGAUGGCAGAGCGGUUGAAUGCGACGGUCUUGAAAACCGUUAACUCGCAAGGGUUCGGGGGUUCGAAUCCCCCUCCCUCCG